This is a long non-coding RNA of Dipodomys ordii (Ord's kangaroo rat), 115 nucleotides long. RefSeq lists it as uncharacterized. NCBI's taxonomy places the organism in Eukaryota, Metazoa, Chordata, Mammalia, Rodentia, Heteromyidae. The transcript is spliced from 3 exons. The record is from RefSeq and is a predicted model, not a curated record.
AGGCCUUUGCACCAUGAAGCUUCUUAUCCUGACCUGCCUCGUGGCCGUUGCUCUUGCCAGGCCUAAAUUUCAUUUUAGACAUGCUGAAGCUCAAAAUCAGGAAGACAGCAAUGAG